GCGCAGCAGGCGCGAAUCUUCCACAAUGGACGAAAGUCUGAUGGAGCGACGCCGCGUGCGGGAUGAAGGCCUUAUGGGUUGUAAACCGCUGUCAGGGGGAAGAACAUCGGAAUGAACAAUACUCAUUCCGACUGACGUUACCCCAGAGGAAGCUCCGGCAACUCCGUGCCAGCAGCCGCGGUAAUACGGGGGGAGCAAGCGUUGUCCGGAAUUAUUGGGCUA
RNAcentral lists this ribosomal RNA (222 nucleotides) under uncultured microorganism. RNAcentral describes it as "partial 16S ribosomal RNA". It matches the Rfam family "Bacterial small subunit ribosomal RNA", at positions 346 to 561 of the family's 1533-position model. The record is from RNAcentral.